Molecule: ribosomal RNA, 102 nt
Filed under: uncultured bacterium
Lineage: Bacteria
Description: partial 16S ribosomal RNA
Rfam family: Bacterial small subunit ribosomal RNA
Source: RNAcentral
CAACGCCGCGUGGAGGAAUGUAAAUCCCUUGGGAUGUAAACUCCUUUCGAUAGGGAAGAUUAUGACGGUACCUAAUAGAAGAAGCCCCGGCUAACUUCGUGC